GUCCUUUUGUUUUAUUUAGAAGGUCUUGCCUGCCCAGUGAUAUUUAUUUAACGGCCGCGGUAUAUUGACCGUGCAAAGGUAGCAUAAUCAUUAGUCUUUUAAUAGGAGGCUGGUAUGAAAGGUUUAACGAAGCAUAAUCUGUCUCAUUUAUAAUUUUAGAAUUUAACUUUUGAGUUAAAAGGCUCAAAUUCAGUUGGUGGACGAGAAGACCCUAUAGAGCUUUACAUUAAUUUUUUUAAUAUUAUUUUGUUAAAUAAUUUUAUACUAAUUUUUUUAGUGUUUUGUUGGGGUGACAAAAAAUAUAUAAUUAACUUUUUUAUUUAAUAACCAUUAAUUUAUGAUUAUUUGAUCCAAUAGUAUUGAUUAUUAGACUAAGUUACCUUAGGGAUAACAGCGUAAUCUUCUUUCAGAGUUCAAAUUUACAAGAAGGCUUGCGACCUCGAUGUUGGAUUAAGAUAAUAAUUAGGUGCAGUAGCUUAAUUAAUAGGUCUGUUCGACCUUUAAAUUCUUACAUGAUCUGAGUUCAAACCGG
RNAcentral lists this ribosomal RNA (532 nucleotides) under Telebasis dunklei. RNAcentral describes it as "partial 16S ribosomal RNA". It matches the Rfam family "Bacterial large subunit ribosomal RNA", at positions 1819 to 2619 of the family's 2925-position model. Lineage: Eukaryota; Metazoa; Arthropoda; Insecta; Odonata; Coenagrionidae. The record is from RNAcentral.